Long non-coding RNA from Cyprinus carpio (common carp), 2097 nucleotides. RefSeq lists it as uncharacterized. Lineage: Eukaryota; Metazoa; Chordata; Actinopteri; Cypriniformes; Cyprinidae. The record is from RefSeq and is a predicted model, not a curated record. The transcript has 4 exons.
UGUCGUCAAUCCUACUUAAACCCAUUCAAAUGUGUUGUUAACGCUGGUUUGUUUGGAGCGCCGGCGAGAUCAAAGCUCGUUUGGCUUGUGGAGCUCAUUUUUCCAUGGCUCUGGCUUUAACAGAAGUGCUACAAUUUACGAUUUACGCCACAUUAAGUGCACCAAAAUGGUAUUUAUUGUUAGAAUUUAGUAUUAAAACAUACAAAUUUUGUAAGCUGAGACUUUGUUUCAUAUGCAAGCAGUGCUGUCACUUUGGUGUGAGAUUUACAGCAGCGUGAGAGCGUGAGACCGAGCCUGAAAACGUGUGUCUAAUGCUGAGAGUUGGUAACCCUGAUAUGAAGUGACAGCAGCGUAAUAUACAGUACUUAUGCUACUCUCUGUGCUGAUAAUAUGACCCAAACAAUAAAAUAAAAACAGAAAAUCACUCAAUGCUCUUGAAUGAGUAAUCUCUGUAGCUCUAAUAAGAAGACAUUUUUACUUUUCUGCUGCUUUUAAAUGCUCUAUCAUGAAGAUGAAGAUGAAGAUGGCGGAUUGUGUGGCGCUUGGGGGCAGCUUACUCCGGGUCGUGGGUGGGGCUUGUAAAAUGUGAUGUCUUUUUCUCAUCAGUGCUGUUUAUAAUACAGAUGAUGUUUAGUAUUUUAUCUCCUCCAUUGCACUUUAAAAUAGCAUUCUGACUUCAGAUGUGUCUGAUCAGUUAUGAUCCACUCAGUGUCUCUUUUAUUUGUGUAUCUCUGGAAGUUUUUUGCACUCGUAAGUGACAGUUAUUCUCAACAGUGCAGAAAAUGUGUUAAAGAUGUGUGAAAGUUUGCAGAAACAUAUCAGCACUGUGAAUACAACAUUAUUUCACUUCUUCUUUUUCUUUUUCUUUUUUUUUUUUUUAACCAGAGGCUGUUUUGUUGUGCUUUUGAUCAGCAUAAUGAAGAGCCACUCACUUCUGUACAGAAACCUGCUUUAAAUACAUUCAUAUUCUAAGGCUGAUAAUAUUUGCUUACGUUGAUCACACAACAGACUAAAAUAACCAGUUUCUGCAGUGUCUCACUCCAGUAGUACUAUAAUUGUGUAGAAAGAGAGUGAGAUUAGAGAAGGGAACCCUUUCUCAAUUCUCGUUCAUAAUGUAAAUAAUGUAAAUAAAAAAUAUAAACAUAAUUUUAGAUCUCUGAAAGAGACACAUUUGUAACUUGUAUGCAACUUUUAUAAUCAAGCAGGAAGGGUGUUUUGACAAAAACAACCAUAGAGAAUGUGAAAGUGAAAGUCGUGACAUUUCAACCCAUUCUCACUCCCAAGGCGUCAAAAACUGAAGCAUGGUCAAGCGCCUCUAGCGUCACUAUGAAGACUAUGUAUUACAGGAUUGCUUGCAGAUAACGCUGUCCUUCUUUUUCAGGUCUACAAUAUUGAGCUCAACAGCUCUUUUAAGAGCCAACCCCUAACAAACCUUCCUAAAAACUAAAAGAGCUAUUACUGAGUCUCAGCGAAUCUUGCCAUGAUCAGCCCUUCCCAGAAGAGAAGGAAGGCCAAGGAAAUUCUUUGUUCAGGAUGAGGAAUGAAGACGGCCAUCCUGCGCCCAAACGAAGACAGAAAGUUGUGCAGGUCCACUGAUGAUCUCAUCAGCCAAAUGAGGGGUUUUGACCAAGUGAUGCUCCUGAAAGGAAUGAAAGAAGAGGAUGUGAUAAAUUGUCUUCAAAGAAAAAGCUUCUCAAAAGGUCUUAAAACAGCUUGAAGAAUGGUCUGGGAACUGUCUGAAAAUGGGAUGUUAGGACUGAGAGAUCCUCUGGCUGAGAAAAAGCUACACCACAUCAGUGCUGGAUAUCAACCACAAACUGUUACAGACACGAGAGAAGAAGAUCAUGACGGGGAAGAGCAAGACACCAGUUUAGAUGUGAUGAUAAGGAAUCAUUAUUUUCUGAAACAGUAUCACAUGUCUUAUAUGUAUCACAUGAUCAGUAUCACAGUUGACUGGAUGGGAUUGUUUGACUUUAAAGGACAUUUCAUCACUCAUUUGUAUGAACUGAUGAAUAUAUGAUGUUAAUGAAUUUUUGAUGAUCCAUUAUUAUUUUCCUUGAAUCUUAUUUGUCUUGAUGCUACUUUAUCAACUUUAUA